AUAAUCCUUAGCAUUUCCUCUCACCUGGGGAGCAGUCUGUUUGUCUUUCUACAGCCUUAGGGAAGGGAUAAGAGGGUCAAAAGCACCACCUUUGACCCUAAACCAUGUAUUUUGUCAUCUAGAAGUAUAUUUUGCCUGACUUAUUUCAUGGCUGUUUUCUGCUUGAAUUGCAUCUGCAGUUUUAUAUACAUCUAUAAUGGACACAACACACUCCAACUGUUCCUGUUUAUUGCCUUGGCUGGAAAAUAUCACUUUCUCUUGUCGAUGGAUCCUUCAGGUGGAAGCCCAUCAAAUCUUUUGAUCAAAUCUGAAUCAAGUGACAGGUACCCAUAUUUUUGUUUCUGACUAUGAUAUACGGUAUAUAACUUAGAUAUGAUAUAGUUAGUGAGCUGGAUAUCUCACAGGCAUGAUAUAAUGAGAUAGCUAUAUGUAAGUUUAUUAAUUCCUAGUUCUUCUUGUAGUGUUGUGUGUAUACUUUGUUGUCUGUGUUGUAACUCUUAUCUCAAAAUAAAAUAAAAUUCCAUCUCAAGCUGUUUUUAGGGGGGUAAACAAAGCUCACAUUUACAUGCAAAAUAAAUAAAUAAAUGAAGGAGAAGGGAAGAAAAAAGAGAGAGGUUAAACUGGAAAGAAAUCCGUACCUCACAGAACAUAGGCAACUUUUUGGCAAAAUCCACCACUCUUGUGA
Molecule: long non-coding RNA, 685 nt
Organism: Podarcis raffonei (Aeolian wall lizard)
Lineage: Eukaryota; Metazoa; Chordata; Lepidosauria; Squamata; Lacertidae
Exons: 3
Source: RefSeq, a predicted model, not a curated record